RNAcentral lists this ribosomal RNA (551 nucleotides) under Fusarium oxysporum. RNAcentral describes it as "eukaryotic LSU rRNA". The stretch from base 186 to 339 matches the Rfam family "5.8S ribosomal RNA". The record is from RNAcentral. Lineage: Eukaryota; Fungi; Ascomycota; Sordariomycetes; Hypocreales; Nectriaceae.
CAAGGUCUCCGUUGGUGAACCAGCGGAGGGAUCAUUACCGAGUUUACAACUCCCAAACCCCUGUGAACAUACCAAUUGUUGCCUCGGCGGAUCAGCCCGCUCCCGGUAAAACGGGACGGCCCGCCAGAGGACCCCUAAACUCUGUUUCUAUAUGUAACUUCUGAGUAAAACCAUAAAUAAAUCAAAACUUUCAACAACGGAUCUCUUGGUUCUGGCAUCGAUGAAGAACGCAGCAAAAUGCGAUAAGUAAUGUGAAUUGCAGAAUUCAGUGAAUCAUCGAAUCUUUGAACGCACAUUGCGCCCGCCAGUAUUCUGGCGGGCAUGCCUGUUCGAGCGUCAUUUCAACCCUCAAGCCCCCGGGUUUGGUGUUGGGGAUCGGCGAGCCCUUGCGGCAAGCCGGCCCCGAAAUCUAGUGGCGGUCUCGCUGCAGCUUCCAUUGCGUAGUAGUAAAACCCUCGCAACUGGUACGCGGCGCGGCCAAGCCGUUAAACCCCCAACUUCUGAAUGUUGACCUCGGAUCAGGUAGGAAUACCCGCUGAACUUAAGCAUAC